UACUCCCUUUAUAUAUCACCUGCCUCUCCUUUGCGUUGUCAACAUCAUCUUCUCCAUCUUCAAUUUUUAAACCUAAAACCCAAAUUCCACCAUGGUGAUUUGCAGAUGUGGGUUUCAAACAGUGAUUCGAACCUCCCAUACUGAUGCGAACCCUGGAAGACAAUUCCACUGCUGCCCACGUCAGGGUACAAGAGGUUGUGGUUUUGUUGCUUGGGUGAUCCCCCCCAUUUGUCCGAUGUGUUCUGAACUAUUGGCAAAGUUAGACAGAACAACAAGCAUGAAUGAAGAUGUUGGAAGGAAGCUGUUUGCUGAAAAAAAAAAGACUGAAAGCUC
Helianthus annuus (common sunflower) is the source of this 333-nucleotide long non-coding RNA. RefSeq lists it as uncharacterized. The transcript is spliced from 2 exons. The record is from RefSeq and is a predicted model, not a curated record. Lineage: Eukaryota; Viridiplantae; Streptophyta; Magnoliopsida; Asterales; Asteraceae.